This 492-nucleotide ribosomal RNA is filed under the name uncultured bacterium. Its description in RNAcentral is "partial 16S ribosomal RNA". It matches the Rfam family "Bacterial small subunit ribosomal RNA", at positions 29 to 507 of the family's 1533-position model. The record is from RNAcentral.
AGUGAACGCUGGCGGUAGGCCUAACACAUGCAAGUCGAACGGCAGCACAGUAAGAGCUUGCUCUUACGGGUGGCGAGUGGCGGACGGGUGAGGAAUACAUCGGAAUCUACUUUUUCGUGGGGGAUAACGUAGGGAAACUUACGCUAAUACCGCAUACGACCUACGGGUGAAAGCAGGGGAUCUUCGGACCUUGCGCGAUUGAAUGAGCCGAUGUCGGAUUAGCUAGUUGGCGGGGUAAAGGCCCACCAAGGCGACGAUCCGUAGCUGGUCUGAGAGGAUGAUCAGCCACACGGGAACUGAGACACGGUCCAGACUCCUGCGGGAGGCAGCAGUGGGGAAUAUUGGACAAUGGGCGCAAGCCUGAUCCAGCCAUACCGCGUGGGUGAAGAAGGCCUUCGGGUUGUAAAGCCCUUUUGUUGGGAAAGAAAAGCAGCAGGUUAAUACCCCGCUGUUCUGACGGUACCCAAAGAAUAAGCACCGGCUAACUUCGUG